RNAcentral lists this ribosomal RNA (624 nucleotides) under Falkonemadus sp. FAM1. Its description in RNAcentral is "partial 16S ribosomal RNA". It matches the Rfam family "Bacterial large subunit ribosomal RNA", at positions 1825 to 2732 of the family's 2925-position model. The record is from RNAcentral. Lineage: Eukaryota; Metazoa; Arthropoda; Insecta; Coleoptera; Leiodidae.
GUCUUAUUGAAAAUAAUUUUAAGUCUGAUCUGCCCAAUGAAAUUUUAAAUGGCUGCAGUAUUUUAACUGUACAAAGGUAGCAUAAUAAUUUGUCUCUUAAUUAGGGACUUGUAUGAAUGAUCAAACGAGAUAAUAACUGUCUCUAAAUAAAUUAUAGAAUUUUAUAUUUAAGUAAAAAAGCUUAAAUUUUUUUAAAAGACGAGAAGACCCUAUAGAGUUUUAUAUUUUUAUUAUUAUAAAUUUUUAGUAUUAAUAAUUAAUUUUAAAUAAAAAUAUUUCAUUGGGGUGAUGAAAAAAUUAAAAUAACUUUUUUAUAUUUUUAACAUAAAUUUAUGAUUUUUUGAUCCAAUAUUUUUGAUUAUAAGAUUAAAUUACCUUAGGGAUAACAGCGUAAUUUUUUUAAAGAGUUCUUAUCGAAAAAAAAGAUUGCGACCUCGAUGUUGGAUUAAAAUUAAUUUUUGGCGUAGAAGUUAAAAUAUUAGGUCUGUUCGACCUUUAAAAUUUUACAUGAUCUGAGUUUAAAUCGGCGUGAGCCAGGUUGGUUUCUAUCUUUAAUUAAAUAUUAUAUUUUAGUACGAAAGGACCAAAUAUUUAUAAUAAUUAUUAUUUUUAGAAUAUUAUUAA